RNAcentral lists this ribosomal RNA (250 nucleotides) under uncultured Chroococcidiopsis sp. RNAcentral's name for it is "partial 16S ribosomal RNA". It matches the Rfam family "Bacterial small subunit ribosomal RNA", at positions 796 to 1044 of the family's 1533-position model. The record is from RNAcentral. Lineage: Bacteria; Bacillati; Cyanobacteriota; Cyanophyceae; Chroococcidiopsidales; Chroococcidiopsidaceae.
CUAGCCGUAAACGAUGGAUACUAGGCGUUGUGAGUAUCGACCCUCACAGUGUCGUAGCUAACGCGUUAAGUAUCCCGCCUGGGGAGUACGCGCGCAAGCGUGAAACUCAAAGGAAUUGACGGGGGCCCGCACAAGCGGUGGAGUAUGUGGUUUAAUUCGAUGCAACGCGAAGAACCUUACCAGGACUUGACAUGUCGCGAAUCUCAGGGAAACUUGAGAGUGCCUUCGGGAGCGCAAACACAGGUGGUGC